Molecule: ribosomal RNA, 584 nt
Filed under: uncultured bacterium
Lineage: Bacteria
Description: partial 16S ribosomal RNA
Rfam family: Bacterial small subunit ribosomal RNA
Source: RNAcentral
UGGGGAAUUUUGGACAAUGGGCGAAAGCCUGAUCCAGCAAUGCCGCGUGUGUGAAGAAGGCCUUCGGGUUGUAAAGCACUUUUGUCCGGAAAGAAAUCCUUGGCUCUAAUACAGUCGGGGGAUGACGGUACCGGAAGAAUAAGCACCGGCUAACUACGUGCCAGCAGCCGCGGUAAUACGUAGGGUGCAAGCGUUAAUCAGAAUUACUGGGCGUAAAGCGUGCGCAGGCGGUUUGCUAAGACCGAUGUGAAAUCCCCGGGCUCAACCUGGGAACUGCAUUGGUGACUGGCAGGCUAGAGUAUGGCAGAGGGGGGUAGAAUUCCACGUGUAGCAGUGAAAUGCGUAGAGAUGUGGAGGAAUACCGAUGGCGAAGGCAGCCCCCUGGGCCAAUACUGACGCUCAUGCACGAAAGCGUGGGGAGCAAACAGGAUUAGAUACCCUGGUAGUCCACGCCCUAAACGAUGUCAACUAGUUGUUGGGGAUUCAUUUCCUUAGUAACGUAGCUAACGCGUGAAGUUGACCGCCUGGGGAGUACGGUCGCAAGAUUAAAACUCAAUGAAUUGACGGGGUCAUAGCUGUUUCCU